GUGGGGAAUCUUGCGCAAUGGGCGAAAGCCUGACGCAGCCAUGCCGCGUGAAUGAUGAAGGUCUUAGGAUUGUAAAAUUCUUUCACCGGGGACGAUAAUGACGGUACCCGGAGAAGAAGCUCCGGCUAACUUCGUGCCAGCAGCCGCGGUAAUACGAAGGGGGCUAGCGUUGCUCGGAAUUACUGGGCGUAAAGGGCGCGUAGGCGGACAGCUUAGUCAGAGGUGAAAGCCCAGGGCUCAACCUUGGGAUUGCCUUUGAUACUGGCUGUCUUGAGUUUGGGAGAGGUGAGUGGAACUCCGAGUGUAGAGGUGAAAUUCGUAGAUAUUCGGAAGAACACCAGUGGCGAAGGCGACUCACUGGCCCAAUACUGACGCUGAGGCGCGAAAGCGUGGGGAGCAAACAGGAUUAGAAACCCCAGUAGUCC
Molecule: ribosomal RNA, 425 nt
Filed under: uncultured bacterium
Lineage: Bacteria
Description: partial 16S ribosomal RNA
Rfam family: Bacterial small subunit ribosomal RNA
Source: RNAcentral